Molecule: long non-coding RNA, 1247 nt
Organism: Eriocheir sinensis (Chinese mitten crab)
Lineage: Eukaryota; Metazoa; Arthropoda; Malacostraca; Decapoda; Varunidae
Exons: 8
Source: RefSeq, a predicted model, not a curated record
GUGGGAGGAGGAUUUACGACGCUUUGCUCUUCGAUGUUUUAUUGUUUUUAGUGAUUUUAGCGCCAAAAAGGGACGAAAAAUGUCUUCCUGAACCUUUUAAUAAGAGGAAUAUUUAGUUGACCCGUUGAGCUGGGAGUCAAACAGAUGCUCUCCAGUGCUUGACCUGACCUCAACCACUGGGCUGCCCCCUGUCACCUGGGAUACACCUGCGAGAGAGAGAAGAGAGGUCAUUAGUAGGGAGAAGAAGAAGAAGAAAAAGAAGGAGGAGGAGAAAGAUAGUUAGGAAAGGUCGUUAGCAAGAAGAAGAAAAAGAAGAAGAAGAAGAAGAAGAAAAAGGAGGAGGAAGAUAGUUAGGAAAGGUCGUUAGCAGGAAGAAGAAGAAGAAGAAGAAGGAGAAGAAGAUUGUUAGCAGAUAGAGAGGAUAUGACCACUACUACUACUACUACUACUACUACUACUACUACUACUACUACUACUACUACUACUGCUACUACUACUACUACUACUACUACUGCUACUACUACUACUACUACUGUGAGACCCCGGACUCACCCAAGACCGAGACCCAGCAAUUCAAAUUUCGUUCACUCCUUACCAAAUCCUAAACUUAAUCUGGAAAACAAGACACAGAAAACACAAGAACUGCAACACAACUUAAGAAACAGCCUAGUGGGAGCUGAUGCCAAGGCUUAUCCCACGCCUACCACUUAACUGAACAGAACCAGACAAGUGCCAGGUCAGAGAGGGUCACCUAGGCUCUUGACCCCUUGACCCCUUGACCUCCACCACCAACAGGAGCAACAGGACAACAGUAACAGGCGAGCAGUGUCCCCCCGGUGUCUUCCAGGGGAGGGAGUUUCACCCCAUAGGACACGAGGUCAUUGGUGGAGGUCAAAAGGUCAGGUCACGUGAUCCAGCAAGACAGCGAGGUCAUCUUGGGUCAAGGAUCAUAUGGUAUCUACUACUACUACUACUACUACUACUACUACUACUACUACUACUACUACUACUACUACUACUACUACUACUACUACUACUACCUACUUCAGUUCAUGUCAAAGAAGCUGCAUGGUGGUGGUGAAGGUGGACUCUUGACGGCGGUGAGUGCAGCAACGCGCCUCCUCCCGUACGCUCCCUCCGUUAGUCAUUUGGUCGGAGUGCAGGAGGCCAAAGGGACGCCCACUCAGCUCAUGGCCGGGGCACGUCGACCGGGGUGGGUGGGCAGCUGCUCGGAGGCUCGGCGGAGG